This 253-nucleotide ribosomal RNA is filed under the name uncultured bacterium. RNAcentral's name for it is "partial 16S ribosomal RNA". It matches the Rfam family "Bacterial small subunit ribosomal RNA", at positions 524 to 776 of the family's 1533-position model. The record is from RNAcentral.
UACGGAGGGUGCAAACGUUGCUCGGAAUCAUUGGGCGUAAAGCGCACGUAGGUGGUCCAGCAAGUCGGGUGUGAAAGCCCUCGGCUUAACCGAGGAAGUGCAUUCGAAACUACUGGACUUGAGUACUGAAGAGGAUCGCGGAAUUCCCGGUGUAGAGGUGAAAUUCGUAGAUAUCGGGAGGAACACCAGUGGCGAAGGCGGCGAUCUGGGCAGAUACUGACACUGAGGUGCGAAAGCGUGGGGAGCAAACAGG